CUCGUUGAAGAUGUAGCCUCCGUGGCAAAGUGAGUUUGACAGCCCUGAUAUAGACGAUAAAUAAAAUAUGGUAAGCAGUGUUGUGCUUAAUGUAGGUGUUUAUCUCUUAGUUGUUACUCUUGUGAAUGGUUAAACAAGCCGUAGCCAGGUCUAGGAGGUCUUGGUACAGAAGAUAGAAGAGAUACUCAGAAGGUAUGAGAGAUACUCAGAAGGUAGAAGAGAUACUCAGAAGGUAGAAGAGAUACUCAGAAGGUAGAAGAGAUACUCAGAAGGUAGAAGAGAUACUCAGAAGGUAGAAGAGAUACUCAGAAAGUAGAAGAGAUACUCAGAAGGUAGACGAGAUACUCAGAAGGUAGAAGAGGUACUCAGAAAGUAGAAGAGAUACUCAGAAAGUAGAAGAGAUACUCAGAAAGUAGAAGAGAUACUCAGAAAGUAGAAGAGAUACUCAGUCAGAGGUGUAGAUGACUAGACAGAACAGGCCCGAUGCUCCAGUAUCACAGGCCAUUGAUCAAAAGGAAUGUCGGCACACAGCAUAUUGUUUUAUCUAUCAGGUUAAGGGGGAGGGGCUCAACUCCAAGGAAUGGGAAUAACUAACAUGACAUCAGUCCCACAGGGUCAUUCUUGAGCUGCGGUAAUAUAUAUAUUUUUAAAUUAAACUUUUUUUUUUUUUACUAGAAUAAAUGCAUUUUCUGAAUCCCCACAAAAUGAAGAACAUAUUAAACCUCCAAGAAAGCAUUUACCUUCAACCCCGUCACAGACAACAUGGAAGUUGUCUGAAUAUGAUUCUAAAAGAUACUUGUUAUAAAAUCAACAUCUACCUAAUGCCCAAAUAAAUACAAUUAUUAGAAAUAUAAAAUCUCAGAAAUGUUUGCUUUUAUUAAAACCCUG
Molecule: long non-coding RNA, 888 nt
Organism: Oncorhynchus tshawytscha (Chinook salmon)
Lineage: Eukaryota; Metazoa; Chordata; Actinopteri; Salmoniformes; Salmonidae
Source: Ensembl